This 94-nucleotide small RNA is filed under the name Escherichia coli. RNAcentral's name for it is "partial RtT sRNA". It matches the Rfam family "RtT RNA", at positions 37 to 130 of the family's 130-position model. Rfam says of the family: This family represents a bacterial cis-regulatory element known as RtT RNA. The exact function of RtT is unknown although it is thought that it may be involved in changing the cellular response in relation to amino acid starvation. The record is from RNAcentral. Lineage: Bacteria; Pseudomonadati; Pseudomonadota; Gammaproteobacteria; Enterobacterales; Enterobacteriaceae. RNAcentral also lists the same sequence under 1 other name.
GGAGGUUCGACUCGAGCGAAGCGAGAGAACGUUGCGCCAGCAACGGCCCGCAGGGCGAGCCACGAAGUGGCGAGUAAUCCUCUAUCACCGACCA